RNAcentral lists this ribosomal RNA (200 nucleotides) under uncultured bacterium. RNAcentral describes it as "partial 16S ribosomal RNA". It matches the Rfam family "Bacterial small subunit ribosomal RNA", at positions 32 to 242 of the family's 1533-position model. The record is from RNAcentral.
AAUCAACACUGGCGGCGUGCCUAACACAAGCAAGUCGAACGAGAAAGUGGAGCAAUCCAUGAGUACAGUGGCGACCGGGUGAGUAACACGUGACCAACCUGCCCUCGAGUGGGGAAUAGCUCCGGGAAACCGGAGCUAAUACCGCAUAACAUCGCAAGAUCAAAGCCGCAAGGCGCUUGAGGAGGGGGUCGCGGCUGAUU